Armigeres subalbatus is the source of this 1010-nucleotide long non-coding RNA. RefSeq lists it as uncharacterized. The transcript has 2 exons. The record is from RefSeq and is a predicted model, not a curated record. NCBI's taxonomy places the organism in Eukaryota, Metazoa, Arthropoda, Insecta, Diptera, Culicidae.
UUGAAAUCGUCGCAAAACAUAUUGACGCCAAAAUCGUCGCCAGCAGAAAUGGCCAUAAGAUCUGUCAAAUCAACUGUGAACAAAAUUUUAUAUACUCAAUAAUCACAAUUAUUUCCCAAAAUUGAGCCCUGUUUUUAAUGCAGAUUGACAUUAUUUUCUAAUAAAACUAACAUAAUUUUAGAAUGAAGAUGUUGGCGACGAUUUUGAUAGUGCCUAAAAAAUGGUCGGCGCGUUUUGUUACCAAGGAAACAGACAAUAUAUUCUUGGAUAUAUUUAUCUAUAUAGAGAUUUUUUACAAGAAGUGGACGAAAACGUUGUGCAUCGGGGCAACAAUUGCAACAGCCACUGACGCAGGAUUCUGAACCAUAACACCAUAGCACUGCCGCCUCUAUUGGCAUAGUCUCCGUCCGCACCUGGAAGAACUUCUCCAGUCCCUUGAAGGCAAGUUCUAGGUUGACGUACGGAGCCACGCUGAAGUGUCAGACAAAGCACCAGACAAUACCAUAAAAAUGGACGUUCCUACAGCAGUGCUCCGUCAUCGUCGGAGGUCGACGAUAUGGCCUACGUCACUGAACGACACUCGGAUUGAUCCAGAAAACACCAUUCAAGAGCUUAGGAUACUUAUACGAUAUAGUAUAGUACGAUUCCCACAACUAUAAUGAUGACGUUCUCACAUGACUACGGAACCGGCGGUGGAGGCAACUUCCAGAAUGGUCUUACCUUAUAGUAAUGUGGAAGUUCGGACAUAAAUGCUGGUGCAUCUGAUAGCGUAUAGCGACGAAAACUCAAUGAGAUGGAGUGAGGCGGACAAUAAUUGUGGAAACGUUUGUAAUAUAGGUGGCAGGAAAGAUCGGCAAUUCAUGGUGGCUGAAUGUCAACAGGAUUCAAAUUGAAGGCGGGAAAUAUGAGCAUAAAAAAAUGUGUUUCAAAUUAAGGAUAAAUAAGCUUGAUCUAAAGUAUGUACGCUGUAUUUUAAAAUAAAUAAAAAUAAAAUGUUAAUUACAAAAUAA